RNAcentral lists this long non-coding RNA (653 nucleotides) under Macaca mulatta (Rhesus monkey). Its description in RNAcentral is "lncRNA (ENSMMUG00000041194.2)". The record is from RNAcentral. Lineage: Eukaryota; Metazoa; Chordata; Mammalia; Primates; Cercopithecidae.
CUUGUUUAACUUUGGAGUUACUCAGCCAACAGUAGAAUGUGUUUUCACACAUGAAAACAGAAAUUCAGAUUUUAAUUAACCCAGUGAAUUUGCCUGAAAAUAUGCUUCCUGGAACACAGCUAAGUCGUGCUUAUGAUAAAGAUGUGGCUGGAAAGGGAGAUGUCUGCCGUUUUCUGAAUAAAACAAAAGAUUUUGUCAUCGAUGCAAGUUCUGGUGUCAUCACUGCUACCAAAAUUUUUAAUUAUGAAACAGAUCCAAUAAGGUUUCUUCUGAUAGUUGAUACUAGGCUGUCUAGACAUGUUUUGACCAUUAAUAUUAUUGAUGUUCCUGAAUCUCCAAACUGUACUGCUGAUCCCAAAUUUUCUUCAGGCACAGCUACCUUAGAAAUUGAUGAGAACUAUCCAUUAUUUCAGUUCAUUUAUAGAGUGACGGCCACAGAUGAGGACUUCGCAAAUGGUGAUUGGCUGAAUUACACCAUUGAGACACAGUUAUCUGGACCAAAGAAAGGAGCAAACUCUUUUGGAGUGGAUCCUGUAAGUGGUGUUGUUAGUGUAAGAGGUGAAGAUCCCCUGGAUUUUGAUGCUGGAUAUCAUGUAAUUAAAAUGUGUAUUUAUUUUUCCAUGCAGAAUGAAACAGAAUUUGUAUCACUUUGA